UACGGAAGGCAGCAGUGGGGAAUAUUGCACAAUGGGCGCAAGCCUGAUGCAGCCAUGCCGCGUGUAUGAAGAAGGCCUUCGGGUUGUAAAGUACUUUCAGCGGGGAGGAAGGCGGUGAAGUUAAUAGCUUCACCGAUUGACGUUACCCGCAGAAGAAGCACCGGCUAACUCCGUGCCAGCAGCCGCGGUAAUACGGAGGGUGCAAGCGUUAAUCGGAAUUACUGGGCGUAAAGCGCACGCAGGCGGUCUGUCAAGUCGGAUGUGAAAUCCCCCGGGCUUAACCUGGGAACUGCAUUCGAACUGGCAGGCUAGAGUCUUGUAGAGGGGGUAGAAUUCCAGGUGUAGCGGUGAAAUGCGUAGAGAUCUGGAGGAAUCCGGUGGCGAAGGCGGCCCCUGGGACAAAGCUGACGCUCAGGGUGCGAAAGCGUGGGGAGCAAACAGGGAUUAGGAUACC
Molecule: ribosomal RNA, 454 nt
Filed under: uncultured bacterium
Lineage: Bacteria
Description: bacterial SSU rRNA
Rfam family: Bacterial small subunit ribosomal RNA
Source: RNAcentral